RNAcentral lists this transfer-messenger RNA (350 nucleotides) under human gut metagenome. It matches the Rfam family "transfer-messenger RNA". Rfam says of the family: Bacterial tmRNA, also known as 10Sa RNA or SsrA, is named for its dual tRNA and mRNA-like properties. Its role is to liberate the mRNA from a stalled ribosome. The record is from RNAcentral.
GGGGGUGCAAUGGUUUCGACGGGGAUUUUGAAUCAGAGAUAGCCAUUGAUGCCGGGUAAUCAUCCAAACUGCCCAAAACUUUAAAAAAUAAAAGACAACGAUAACGUUCUUUUAGCUGCUUAAUUUAGCGGCCGUCGGCCUUAGGUAACUCGCUGCCUAAGUAACCGGCGUCGAACAGGCGAGGCACUUUUUCGGCAAAGCUUUGAGCCGCAAAAAGAUUUAUGAAGCUACUGAUUGUCUGAGUGUGUCUGUUCACGCUGACAGGAGGGAAUGAUAAUAGACAGACUGUAAUGGGAGAAGUCUUUGUGGAUAGGUUUUCGGACGCGGGUUCGACUCCCGCCACCUCCACU